GCAGUUGGAAGAAGCCAGGCGCCU
Molecule: unclassified non-coding RNA, 24 nt
Filed under: Mus musculus (house mouse)
Lineage: Eukaryota; Metazoa; Chordata; Mammalia; Rodentia; Muridae
Description: oocyte_clustered_small_RNA5097
Source: RNAcentral